This 583-nucleotide long non-coding RNA is filed under the name Capsicum annuum. RNAcentral describes it as "long non-coding RNA (CANN_LNC010648)". Lineage: Eukaryota; Viridiplantae; Streptophyta; Magnoliopsida; Solanales; Solanaceae. The record is from RNAcentral.
UUAAGUAUAGUCAUGUUAACUUAAAUUUGGAUGAAAAGAAUUUUUAUCCUCCAUAGAAAAAAGACAUGAGAAAUAAGGGUUCUCAUAAUAACUAUAACUAUUUUAUACCAUAACUAUAAAUAAGGGUUCUCAUAAUAGAGAAAAGACAUCAGAAAUUAUACCAAAAGAUAGAUGGAGUAUCUGGAUCAAAUGCUACGAGUUCUCUACGAAGAUCAUGGUUGAAUGUAAAUCAAAUACCAAGGCGUUUAAGAUCAUAUUUAGUUAAGGCAAAUCAAUUACCAAGGCAUUCAAGAUUAAAUUCUCGUCUGUGGGAUGCAUAUUGUUCGUGAUGGUCAUUAAGGUGUUUAUGAUGAAUCAAAUUCAGAUAAAGAUCAAUUCCAGACAUAAAUUUAAGGUCCAACUCAAAAGAUCCAUGAAUUUAUUUUAAAAAAGAAAAAGAAUUAAGAGAAUGCAGAGAAAUAGUAACAUUCACUGUAUAAAAAUUAAAUACAAUAGUUAUUGGGAUUUUCUAUCUUGAUUGUCAUUUUACCGAUGUAAAUUUUUUUAUCUACAAUACUGUGAUUUUUAUUCCAUUUUUGCGAAG